GACGAACGCUGGCGGCGUGCUUAACACAUGCAAGUCGAGCGGUAAGGCCCUUUCGGGGGUACACGAGCGGCGAACGGGUGAGUAACACGUGGGUGACCUGCCUUUAGCUCUGGGAUAAGCCUGGGAAACUGGGUCUAAUACCGGAUACGAGUCCGCGGUGCAUGCUGUGGGGUGGAAAGCCUUGUGCGGCUGGAGAUGGGCCCGCGGCCUAUCAGCUUGUUGGUGGGGUGAUGGCCUACCAAGGCGACGACGGGUAGCCGGCCUGAGAGGGCGACCGGCCACACUGGGACUGAGACACGGCCCAGACUCCUACGGGAGGCAGCAGUGGGGAAUCUUGCGCAAUGGGCGAAAGCCUGACGCAGCGACGCCGCGUGAGGGAUGACGGCC
This 387-nucleotide ribosomal RNA is filed under the name uncultured bacterium. RNAcentral describes it as "bacterial SSU rRNA". It matches the Rfam family "Bacterial small subunit ribosomal RNA", at positions 28 to 416 of the family's 1533-position model. The record is from RNAcentral.